UACGAAGGGGGCUAGCGUUGCUCAGAAUCACUGGGCGUAACGGGUGCGUAGGCGGGUCUUUAAGUCAGGGGUGAAAUCCUGGAGCUCAACUCCAGAACUGCCUUUGAUACUGAGGAUCUUGAGUACGGGAGAGGUGAGUGGAACUGCGAGUGUAGAGGUGAAAUUCGUAGAUAUUCGCAAGAACACCAGUGGCGAAGGCGGCUCACUGGCCCGUAACUGACGCUGAGGCACGAAAGCGUGGGGAGCAAACAGG
This 253-nucleotide ribosomal RNA is filed under the name uncultured bacterium. RNAcentral's name for it is "partial 16S ribosomal RNA". It matches the Rfam family "Bacterial small subunit ribosomal RNA", at positions 524 to 776 of the family's 1533-position model. The record is from RNAcentral.